Molecule: ribosomal RNA, 340 nt
Filed under: uncultured Streptococcus sp.
Lineage: Bacteria; Bacillati; Bacillota; Bacilli; Lactobacillales; Streptococcaceae
Description: bacterial SSU rRNA
Rfam family: Bacterial small subunit ribosomal RNA
Source: RNAcentral
GGCGAUGGUUGUCGUCAGCUCGUGUCGUGAGAUGUUGGUUAAGUCCCGCAACGAGCGCAACCCCUAUUGUUAGUUGCCAUCAUUCAGUUGGGCACUCUAGCGAGACUGCCGGUAAUAAACCGGAGGAAGGUGGGGAUGACGUCAAAUCAUCAUGCCCCUUAUGACCUGGGCUACACACGUGCUACAAUGGUUGGUACAACGAGUUGCGAGUCGGUGACGGCGAGCUAAUCUCUUAAAGCCAAUCUCAGUUCGGAUUGUAGGCUGCAACUCGCCUACAUGAAGUCGGAAUCGCUAGUAAUCGCGGAUCAGCACGCCCGCGGUCGAAUACGUUCCGGGCCUU